This 1123-nucleotide ribosomal RNA is filed under the name uncultured Pseudomonadota bacterium. RNAcentral's name for it is "bacterial SSU rRNA". It matches the Rfam family "Bacterial small subunit ribosomal RNA", at positions 148 to 1271 of the family's 1533-position model. The record is from RNAcentral. Lineage: Bacteria; Pseudomonadati; Pseudomonadota.
AGUUGGAAACGACUGUUAAUACCGCAUAAUAUCUGUGGAUUAAAGGUGGCUUAGGCUGCCGCAGAUGGAUGAGCCUGCGUUGGAUUAGCUAGUUGGUGGGGUAAGGGCCUACCAAGGCUACGAUCCAUAGCUGAUUUGAGAGGAUGAUCAGCCACAUUGGGACUGAGACACGGCCCAAACUCCUACGGGAGGCAGCAGUGGGGAAUAUUGGACAAUGGGGGAAACCCUGAUCCAGCAAUGCCAUGUGUGUGAAGAAGGCUCUAGGGUUGUAAAGCACUUUAGUUGGGGAGGAAAGCCUAUAAGUUAAUAGCUUGUAGGAAGGACGUUACCCAAAGAAUAAGGACCGGCUAACUCCGUGCCAGCAGCCGCGGUAAUACGGGGGGUCCGAGCGUUAAUCGGAAUUACUGGGCGUAAAGGGUCUGUAGGUGGUUUGUUAAGUCAGAUGUGAAAGCCCAGGGCUCAACCUUGGAACUGCAUUUGAUACUGGCAAACUAGAGUAUGGUAGAGGAAUGGGGAAUUUCUGGUGUAGCGGUGAAAUGCGUAGAGAUCAGAAGGAACACCAAUGGCGAAGGCAACAUUCUGGACCAAUACUGACACUGAGGGACGAAAGCGUGGGGAUCAAACAGGAUUAGAUACCCUGGUAGUCCACGCUGUAAACGAUGAGUACUAGCUGUUGGAUUCGGUGUAAAGGAUCUAGUGGCGCAGCUAACGCAUUAAGUACUCCGCCUGGGGACUACGGCCGCAAGGCUAAAACUCAAAGGAAUUGACGGGGACCCGCACAAGCGGUGGAGCAUGUGGUUUAAUUCGAUGCAACGCGAAGAACCUUACCUGGUCUUGACAUCCUGCGAACUUUCUAGAGAUAGACUGGUGCCUUCGGGAACGCAGUGACAGGUGCUGCACGGCUGUCGUCAGCUCGUGUUGUGAAAUGUUGGGUUAAGUCCCGCAACGAGCGCAACCCCUAUUGAUAGUUACCAUCAUUAAGUUGGGUACUCUAUUGAGACUGCCGCUGACAAGGCGGAGGAAGGUGGGGACGACGUCAAGUCAUCAUGGCCCUUACGACCAGGGCUACACACGUGCUACAAUGGGUAUUACAGAGGGCUGCGAAGGUGCGAGCUGGAGCGAA